Molecule: non-coding RNA, 2602 nt
Organism: Phoenix dactylifera (date palm)
Lineage: Eukaryota; Viridiplantae; Streptophyta; Magnoliopsida; Arecales; Arecaceae
Source: RefSeq, a predicted model, not a curated record
CUAAAACCCUAAUCGUAUCCCUCGUUCUUGGUUUUUCCGGGUAGUCCUCUCCUCCUCUCCUUCGUUUUUUCGGCCUCCAAGUCUUCGUCCAUGGCGUUCUCCCUCAUUGUAUCAAGCCCUAAACCCUUCUCCCCUUCCAGUAACCCUAACCCCAAUAUAUCCCGCUCCCAUAUCCUCUCCAAUUCAUGGCUCUCCCCUCCCUCCUCUCGCUCCAGCGUAAUCCCUCAUCUUUCUGGCUCCUCCUUCGUUCUUCUCUCCAAGCCAUGGACUCGUUCCGGAGCCACCCGAUGCUCUCUUCGAUCCCGCCCUGAGUACAUCCCCAACGACAUCCCCGACCCUCGCUACGUCCGGGUGUUCGACACCACCCUCCGCGACGGGGAGCAGUCCCCCGGCGCCACUAUGACCAGCAAAGAGAAGCUCGUCGUCGCCCGCCAACUCUCCCGCCUCGGCGUCGACAUCAUCGAGGCCGGCUUCCCCGCGUCCUCCCCUGACGACCUCGAUGCGGUGCGGUCCAUCGCCAUGGAGGUCGGGAAGCAACCGGUGUCGGAGGACGGCCACAUUCCGGUGAUCUGCGGCCUGGCGAGGUGCAACAAGAAGGAUAUCGAUGCAGCAUGGGAGGCGGUGAGGCACGCCAAGAAGCCGAGGGUGCACACGUUUAUCGCCACCAGCGAGAUUCACAUGCAGCACAAGUUGAGGAAGACGAGGGAGGAGGUGGUGAGGAUCGCUCGCGAGAUGGUAGCGUAUGCCAGGAGUCUCGGGUGCCAGGAUAUCGAAUUUAGCCCCGAGGAUGCUGGCAGGUCUGAUAGAGACUUUCUUUAUCAUGUUCUGGAGGAAGUUAUAAAAGCUGGGGCAACUACUGUGAACAUCCCUGACACUGUUGGCUACACUCUUCCUUCAGAAUUUGAAAAAUUAAUUGCAGACAUAAAGGCAAACACUCAUGGGAUUGAGAAUGUAAUAAUAUCAACACACUGCCAGAAUGACCUUGGACUUGCAACCGCAAACACAUUAGCUGGCGCUUAUGCAGGGGCAAGGCAACUGGAGGUCACUGUCAAUGGUAUCGGUGAAAGAGCUGGAAAUGCUUCUUUAGAGGAGGUUGUAAUUGCCAUGAAGUGUCGUCAGGAACUCAUGGGAGGGCUAUAUACUGGAAUCAACACUAAACAUAUUGUUAUGGCGAGCAAGAUGGUAGCAGAGUAUACCGGACUGCAUGUACAGCCGCAUAAAGCUAUUGUUGGAGCCAAUGCUUUUGCUCAUGAAAGUGGUAUUCACCAGGAUGGAAUGCUUAAACACAAGAACACCUAUGAGAUUAUUUCGCCUGAGGACAUUGGAUUGUCCCGUUCCAAUGAAUCUGGUAUUGUGCUCGGGAAACUUAGUGGACGCCAUGCUCUGAGAUCUAAACUAUUGGAGUUCGGUUAUGAUAUAAAUGGGAACGAACUCGAAGAUGUCUUCAAGCGUUUCAAAGAGGUUGCAGAGAAAAAAAAGCGUGUAUCAGAUGAGGACAUAGAAGCACUGAUAACUGAUGAGAUAUUUCAGCCUGCAGUCAUUUGGUCUCUUGGAGAGCUACAGGCUACCUGUGGAACACUUGGCCUGUCUACGGCAACUGUAAAACUAAUAGCGUCAGAUGGAGAAGAGAAGAUUGCCUGCUCAGUUGGAACAGGUCCAGUGGAUGCUGCAUAUAAAGCUAUUGAUAGCAUAGUCCAGGUACCAGCAGUUCUUCGAGAGUAUGCCAUGAAUUCAGUCACUGAAGGCAUUGAUGCAAUUGCCACCACAAGAGUGGUCAUAGGAGGAGAUAACAACUCUAUGGCUAUGCAUGCCUUAACUGGAGAAUCUGUCCGCCGUACUUUCAGUGGAAGUGGUGCAGCAAUGGAUAUUGUUGUUUCGAGCGUCCGGGCCUAUGUAAGUGCACUCAACAAGAUGUUGGGCUUCAUGUCUGCUGUGAAGGCUACCACGGAAAGCCCUCAAGGCAAAACAUCCCGAAGUUCUGAAUAAACUGUGUUGCCUUUGGAGACCAUAAUGUCUGUUCUUUUCUGCACAAAGAAGGGAUUUAAGGCCGAAGAAUAUUCACUAUUUUACAUGAAUUGAGUGUCAGAGCAUCCAAUCAGACAUACUUCAAAGGUGAAAGGGUUCCGGAAUUAUUGGCGAAAGGGCUAUGAUCAGGAAUGGCACAUCAGAAAUCACUGCUUCCUGGGAAUAGACGAGAGUAGGUGGGUUGCAGAAGAAACCAUACCAUACUGAGCUUCAACUGUCAACUGUUAGCUAUUUGGUCUUUGCUCUAUCAAGGGGGUUCUGGUCUCUUAAUCCGUGAGCACUACGUUAAAUUCAGAGGGUUAGAUGUAUUGGAUUGUAUACCUGAAAUUAGGGGACUUGGCUUUUGAUGGUGAUGCAAGAAGUAGGUCUAGAAGUCCCUUGUAAUUCUCUAACAUCAAUAUUUUCACCAUUCUAAUCUGUGCAACUUUGAAGAGAGUGAGGAAUAUGUACUGCAUCUUAUAGAUUGACAAUAUAUCUAUCAGUUUAGUUUAAAUAUUAUAGUGGAAAAAUGACCUGUGAUUGUUGUAGAACGAAUAAUAGGAAUGAGAGGACAAUGAUCUCAAUUUGAUGAUGCCCA